This 737-nucleotide long non-coding RNA is filed under the name Gallus gallus (chicken). RNAcentral describes it as "lncRNA (ENSGALG00010006560.1)". Lineage: Eukaryota; Metazoa; Chordata; Aves; Galliformes; Phasianidae. The record is from RNAcentral.
AUUCUGUGACUGCAGUUUGCAGGCCAGCAGAGCCAAGCCCAAGUUGUUUAAGUCAGCAGAAGGACUACUGCAAGCUUCAAAGGAACUUGAAUACAUUUUUAAGAACAUUUCAGAAUGGUUCUUAUCCUGUGCUGAAGGAUCAUUUAACUAUCAGGAUAAGAAGUACAAGCAGACAGCACCAGGCUCUGUCAUACCCCAUAGAAAUAGACAGCUCUUCCAAGCAGACCAUCUCAUCUGUUCAGAUUACCUGUCAUGUUUGGGGAGAGCCGAGGUCUGAGAAGAUUUGUAAGUCAGUGGAAUUUCUGCUUUGGAUGAAAUAACUCACGGUUGUAAAUCUAUGUGCUAGCACACUUCUUAAGCAAGAUACAGUACAGGGAAACUACAAAUAGUGUCUACGUUCCUUCUAUGUGGCUGAGAUUAGAAGACUGUUAACAAUAGAGAGUGGGAAAUCUGGGACUGGAACGUCAAGAACAAACCGCAGAAGAAGAGAUGUAAGAAUGGGUUGUGCUUUUGUCUCCUAGAUCAUCAGGUCAUCAAGAUCACAGCAUGUCUACAUGCAACCUGUCACAACACACAGAUCAGAGGAAAACAGUACUAGCUUAAAAUACAGAGAGACUAAAGUCACUGAGAGCUGAUGAUGUGAAUAUAAGGAACAGGCUUGAAGCUUUAAGUAGCCCAAGCAGAGAGACAGGAAAGGAUGACAGGAAGACAGACCUAAGUAGGCAGACAAGGAAAAG